Molecule: ribosomal RNA, 420 nt
Filed under: Triticum aestivum (bread wheat)
Lineage: Eukaryota; Viridiplantae; Streptophyta; Magnoliopsida; Poales; Poaceae
Description: partial small subunit ribosomal RNA
Source: RNAcentral
AUGUAUUACAUGGGUUGUGUGAAGAUUACCUCAUUUGCGACAUUGCUUUCAAUGCGGUUAUGCCUCUAUGUCGUGCUUCGACACGUGGGAGAUAUAGCCGCAUCGAGGGCGUUACACUCUGUUAGAUACAAAAUAAGGUUUAACUCUCAGGAGACGGAUGUUUUCACCCCGACUAGGGGCAUUAGGCAGGGGGAUCCACUCUCCCCUUACAUUUUUCUCCAUUGUGCAGAAGGUCUUUCUAGUUUAUUGCAGUUUGAAGAAGAAGCUGGUGGCAUAGAGGGAAUUAGAGUGUGUAGAAAUGCACCAUCAGUAUUACACCUUUUAUUCGCUGAUUAUUCUCUGAUUCUCAUGAAAGCAAACGUUUUAAAUACAGCUUCCUUACAGCAUGUUCUAGAUGCCUACUGUGAAAGAUCGGGAUAA